UUUGUGAUGAUUGGAGAGGAACUGAGCUCCUUUCUAGCUCAGUUUCUUUCUAGCUCAGUCCCUUUCCAAUCACCAUAAAAUGGAAGCACAAACCUUCAACAAAAUAUAUUCCUUAGCUGAGCUUGAGAUUUUGCAUAGCCUCUCAUUUAUUCUUUCUAGAAUCAGUAAAGUGCAUUAGGAUUCAGAAGACUCCACUUGUUCUAUUUGCUCUCCAUUGCAUUAUGACUUCAUCAGGCACUGCUAUCAUGGGGCACUGGUAACAAAUGUAUGUACUUUCUAAAUACUUACGAUGUAGUAGCUAGGUGGCUACAUGUUGGGCAAAAUGGGAUAAGACAAUAUCAUUUUAACAUGCUUCAAGUACUAUGUCAAGGUCUUACUAUGUACUAUUUCAUUUUAAUCCUAAAAAAAAAAAAACACUCAGAAGAAGGUAUGAUCGGGUAUAUUUUAUAGAUACAGAGGCUAGAGUUCAGAGACAUGAACCUACCUGGCCCCCUCUGCACAUAAACAAUUAUUAAAAAUAUCACUUUGGAGGCCAUGUGCAGAUCAGAUUUGGAAGUGACCAAGACUGGAGGCAGGGACACCAGAGUUUUCUGUUAAAAACUGGUCCAUGCAAGAAAAGAUGACUCCUGAAAUAAGACAGUGAUCAUUAGGAUGAAGAGGAAGAGAAGAUUUGAGGAAUACUUAGAACAGAAUUUACUGAAUUUACUGGUUGAAUUGAAUGUGAAGAGGAGAUGAAUAAAGAAGAAAACACCCUCAAAGGAACAAAUAUGAAACAAUCUCUGGAAAAUGGAAUUUGAUUUUGAUUCAACAACAGGAGAAUUCUACUGUUUUUCUCCAGCAGCUCCACGAUAAAAGGGAACCCUGAGCAGAACACAUGCACAAACUCAUGCCAUACCCUAAGGGACAAGGUUCCCCACAUCUACUUGGAAAUCUUUGGGAUGCUCAAUGGAGAAAAACAAGGAGAGAAAAAUCUAAACCCAGCAGAAGAGAAAGUUUAAGAAAGCGGUCGUCGCCAAUACCAAAAUUAGCUAUGAUAUUCAGGAAGAAAAAAAUGGAAACACGAUAACCACAGUCAAUAAAGACCAAGGCCACAUUCCAUUGACCAGAGCUCAGCCACGCGCCACACCUGGCUAAAGAGACUCUGGCUGAAGAAUUCCCUGAAUAUUUUAAUGUAGCUCUAGGUUAUAACACAGAACAACCACAAGGUGGCAGAAGAACUCCAUUCUUGUAAAUCUCUUAGUUGCUUCUUUAUUUCAUCUUCCCUAUUCCAUCUAAUGUUCCCUGAAUUUUACUAUUUUGUUGGUUUGAAAAUAUGUGUGACUUACGUCCUUUAAAGGAUUUGGUUCGUAAGGUUUUGAAUAGACUGGAAUAUAAAACAUUUAUAGAAAAG
RNAcentral lists this long non-coding RNA (1390 nucleotides) under Homo sapiens (human). RNAcentral describes it as "HSALNT0403461". The record is from RNAcentral. Lineage: Eukaryota; Metazoa; Chordata; Mammalia; Primates; Hominidae.